GAGAUGAAGAGCAGCCGGAGC
Molecule: microRNA, 21 nt
Filed under: Oreochromis niloticus (Nile tilapia)
Lineage: Eukaryota; Metazoa; Chordata; Actinopteri; Cichliformes; Cichlidae
Description: oni-miR-10730
Source: miRBase by way of RNAcentral